GAUGAACGCUGGCGGCGUGCCUAAUACAUGCAAGUCGAGCGAACAGACGAGGAGCUUGCUCCUCUGACGUUAGCGGCGGACGGGUGAGUAACACGUGGAUAACCUACCUAUAAGACUGGGAUAACUUCGGGAAACCGGAGCUAAUACCGGAUAAUAUAUUGAACCGCAUGGUUCAAUAGUGAAAGACGGUUUUGCUGUCACUUAUAGAUGGAUCCGCGCCGCAUUAGCUAGUUGGUAAGGUAACGGCUUACCAAGGCAACGAUGCGUAGCCGACCUGAGAGGGUGAUCGGCCACAGCGGAACUGAGACACGGUCCAGACUCCUACGGGAGGCAGCAGUAGGGAAUCUUCCGCAAUGGGCGAAAGCUUGACGGAGCAACGCCGCGUGAGUGAUGAAGGUCUUCGGAUCGUAAAACUCUGUUAUUAGGGAAGAACAAAUGUGUAAGUAACUAUGCACGUCUUGACGGUACCUAAUCAGAAAGCCACGGCUAACUACGU
RNAcentral lists this ribosomal RNA (496 nucleotides) under uncultured bacterium. RNAcentral describes it as "partial 16S ribosomal RNA". It matches the Rfam family "Bacterial small subunit ribosomal RNA", at positions 28 to 506 of the family's 1533-position model. The record is from RNAcentral.